CGCCUGUUUAUUAAAAACAUGGUUUUAAUUAAUUAAUUUAAAAUUAGGCCUGCCCAAUGAUUUUUUAAUUUAAAGGCCGCAGUAUUUUGACUGUGCUAAGGUAGCAUAAUCAUUAGGUUUUUAAUUUAGAUCUAGAAUGAAUGGUUUGAUGAAAUAAAUUCUUUUUUAAAUUAAUAUUAGAAUUUUAUUUUUUAGUAAAAAAUCUAAAAUAUUUAAAAGGGACGAGAAGACCCUAUAGAAUUUUACAAAAAAAAAUUAUAAUAUUAAUUUAUUUUUAUUUAUUUAUAAAUUUUAUUUGUUUUAUUGGGGCGAUAGUUAAAUUUUAUAAACUUUUAAUAAAAAUUUCAUUGAUUUAUGUUUUUAUGAUCUUUUUUUAUUGAUUAAAAAAAUAAAUUACCUUAGGGAUAACAGUAUAAUUUUAUUAAAAAGUUCUUAUUUUUAAUAGUGUUUAUAACC
Molecule: ribosomal RNA, 456 nt
Filed under: Craneiobia corni
Lineage: Eukaryota; Metazoa; Arthropoda; Insecta; Diptera; Cecidomyiidae
Description: partial large subunit ribosomal RNA
Source: RNAcentral